Molecule: microRNA precursor, 91 nt
Organism: Pediculus humanus corporis (human body louse)
Lineage: Eukaryota; Metazoa; Arthropoda; Insecta; Psocodea; Pediculidae
Source: RefSeq, a predicted model, not a curated record
UUAUUGGUAAAUGUGGUAGGCGAGAGUGAUAGACUUGGGCUGAGAUUUGUUACCAGUCAGUCUUUUUCUCUCUCCUAUUCUUUUUGCCAGU